Molecule: ribosomal RNA, 731 nt
Filed under: uncultured Gemmatimonadota bacterium
Lineage: Bacteria; Pseudomonadati; Gemmatimonadota
Description: bacterial SSU rRNA
Rfam family: Bacterial small subunit ribosomal RNA
Source: RNAcentral
AAUGGGCAACCGGCGAACGGGUGCGUAACACGUGAGCAACCUGCCGAUCUGUGUGGAAUAGCCGGCCCAACGGCCGGGUAAUACCGCAUACGCUCAGUCUGUAGCAUUACGGAUUGAGGAAACCUUUUUGGGCGGAUCGAGGGGCUCGCGGCCUAUCAGCUAGUUGGCGAGGUAAUGGCUCACCAAGGCGAUGACGGGUAGCUGGUCUGAGAGGAUGGCCAGCCACAUUGGGACUGAGAUACGGCCCAGACUCCUACGGGAGGCAGCAGUGGGGAAUAUUGCGCAAUGGCCUAACGGCUGACGCAGCGACGCCGCGUGUGGGAUGAAGCCCUUCGGGGUGUAAACCGCUGUUGCCCGGGACGAACAGCGAGCUUCAGCUUGCCUGACGGUACCGGGUGAGGAAGCACCGGCUAACUCCGUGCCAGCAGCCGCGGUAAUACGGAGGGUGCGAGCGUUGUCCGGAAUCACUGGGCGUAAAGGGCGCGUAGGUGGUGCGAUAAGUGUGUGGUGAAAGCCCGGGGCUCAACCCCGGGUCUGCCGUGCAAACUGUCGGACUGGAGGACUGCACAGGCACGUAGAAUUCCCGGUGUAUGCGGUGGAAUGCGUAUAGAUCCGGAUACAAGAUCGUUGGCUAAGGCAACCUGUAUGGGCAGUUACUAGACUCAUGAGGCCGCGAAACCCCUGCGGAUACCCGCCACAAAGAAUUGUUAUACUCCUGUCUAGUACAUAGC